This is a long non-coding RNA of Musca domestica (house fly), 438 nucleotides long. RefSeq lists it as uncharacterized. The record is from RefSeq and is a predicted model, not a curated record. NCBI's taxonomy places the organism in Eukaryota, Metazoa, Arthropoda, Insecta, Diptera, Muscidae. The transcript has 3 exons.
GAAGAUAACAGAACCAUUAUCCUGUGCUAUUUUGUCGCCUUGCUACUGUAUUUCCUGUGCAUGUUGGCGUUUUCUAUAGUUUUAAUUGUUGGCAUAAGUAGGAAACAACCUAAGCUGAUGGCACCCUUUGUCUAUUUGGUAUAUGGCGGUACAUGGAUGUAUGCCUUCCUAUCAUUUCGUCAUUUCGUUUGGGGUCUUUGGCAUAGAGGACCAUUUGCGAAACUUUUUAUCAAGCUAAUUGUUAAUUUGUCUUGUGUUUCAAUCCAAGCAGCAAUCUUUUGGCCAGUUUAUCUUCUCUAUAGGCAGUGGCAUAAUGAGUUGCGAGAGGAACUGAAGCAACAAGAUACGGACAAUGCAACUAAAUCGAAAAGUGGCGGAAUUUUGUCGUUGGAAAAAUAUUAAAAACAACUAAUAAAUAUACAACUUUUCUAUAAAACU